AUCGAGAAGUUGCAACAAGACAUUCCCGGGAAAGGGGUUAAGCAACAGCUGGAGGUGCUUUGCGGUAUCUAUUCCCUCUUCCUUCUUCACAAACAUCAAGCAGAUUUUCUCGGGACUGGCUAUAUCACCUCAAAGCAGGCAUCACUUGCUAAUGACCAGCUCAGAGCCUUAUAUUCCAAGGUUCAUCUCGUUAAACUUGUUAUCUGUCUUUUUUGAGAUUUUCUCGGAACUGGCUAUAUCACCUCAAAGCAGGCGUCACUUGCUAAUGACCAACUCAGAGCCUUAUAUUCCCAGGUUCGUCUCGUUAAACUUGUUUUCUGUCAUUUGUGCUUGGAGGAUUGAAAGCUGCUUUUACUGAUCCAUUACUGUUUAAUAUCAG
RNAcentral lists this long non-coding RNA (379 nucleotides) under Nicotiana benthamiana. RNAcentral describes it as "long non-coding RNA (NBEN_LNC037716)". Lineage: Eukaryota; Viridiplantae; Streptophyta; Magnoliopsida; Solanales; Solanaceae. The record is from RNAcentral.